RNAcentral lists this ribosomal RNA (253 nucleotides) under uncultured bacterium. RNAcentral describes it as "partial 16S ribosomal RNA". It matches the Rfam family "Bacterial small subunit ribosomal RNA", at positions 524 to 776 of the family's 1533-position model. The record is from RNAcentral.
UACGUAGGGGGCAAGCGUUGUCCGGAUUUAUUGGGCGUAAAGAGCGUGUAGGCGGCCAUACAGGUCCGUUGUGAAAACUCGAGGCUCAACCUCGAGACGUCGAUGGAAACCAUCUGGCUAGAGUCCGGAAGAGGAGAGUGGAAUUCCUGGUGUAGCGGUGAAAUGCGCAGAUAUCAGGAAGAACACCCGUGGCGAAGGCGGCUCUCUGGUACGUGACUGACGCUGAGGCGCGAAAGCUAGGGGAGCAAACGGG